GGCCUCUGCCUGUCCCAGGGGGAGGCCGGAUCCUGGGCUGUGUCCUGGCAGCCUUUGCUCCGGUGCCUGCGCUGUUGGAUUCGUGCUCCCGGCCGCGCAGCCCCCUCCG
This 109-nucleotide microRNA precursor is filed under the name Canis lupus familiaris (dog). RNAcentral's name for it is "miRNA (ENSCAFG00000058392.1)". The stretch from base 17 to 106 matches the Rfam family "mir-8799 microRNA precursor family". Lineage: Eukaryota; Metazoa; Chordata; Mammalia; Carnivora; Canidae. The record is from RNAcentral.